This 460-nucleotide ribosomal RNA is filed under the name uncultured bacterium. Its description in RNAcentral is "partial 16S ribosomal RNA". It matches the Rfam family "Bacterial small subunit ribosomal RNA", at positions 338 to 795 of the family's 1533-position model. The record is from RNAcentral.
CCUACGGGAGGCAGCAGUGAGGAAUAUUGGUCAAUGGACGAGAGUCUGAACCAGCCAAGUAGCGUGAAGGAUGACUGCCCUAUGGGUUGUAAACUUCUUUUAUAUGGGAAUAAAAUGUUCCACGUGUGGGAUUUUGUAUGUACCAUAUGAAUAAGGAUCGGCUAACUCCGUGCCAGCAGCCGCGGUAAUACGGAGGAUCCGAGCGUUAUCCGGAUUUAUUGGGUUUAAAGGGAGCGUAGGUGGAUUGUUAAGUCAGUUGUGAAAGUUUGCGGCUCAACCGUAAAAUUGCAGUUGAAACUGGCAGUCUUGAGUACAGUAGAGGUGGGCGGAAUUCGUGGUGUAGCGGUGAAAUGCUUAGAUAUCACGAAGAACUCCUAUUGCGAAGGCAGUUCACUGGACUGCAACUGACACUGAGGCGCGAAAGUGUGGGUAUCAAACAGGAUUAGAUACCCUUGUAGUC